RNAcentral lists this long non-coding RNA (1772 nucleotides) under Homo sapiens (human). RNAcentral's name for it is "HSALNT0334681". The record is from RNAcentral. Lineage: Eukaryota; Metazoa; Chordata; Mammalia; Primates; Hominidae.
CAGAGCAAGACUCUGUCUCAAAAAAACAACAACAAGGCCAAAUGUCACCCCAUGAUCUUAACAAGGGAACAGUCAGAAUCCAAAUCCUAAGCACACAAAGCUACUUUCUUAAGGGCAAUGGGAGAGGGAAAUUGUGAUGGCCCCAAGCUAGAACCUAAAUUACACCUUUACUUUAGAACUGAGUAUAGAAGGAUACAUAUCCUAGGGCACAGAUGGGACACCUCUGUCGAUGCUAGAAGAAUUCUAUGUGUGUUUGGAGGUGGCAUAGCAUACCUGUUAGAAAGGCUUUGCUAUUUACUACUGUGGGACCACAAGCAAGUUAUCUCUUUUCUGAACCUCAGUUUCCUCAACUAUAAAAAAGAGAUACGGAUGCUUAGCUAAUAUUGCUGGAAUUGAAUGCAGAAAUGAAAGAAAGCUUUUAGCACAGGGCUUUACCCUAACAGGCACUUACUGUUAAGAGUGGUUUAUUACCAGGUAGGUAACUAAGCAAGGAAGAUGUGUGUUAAUCAAUUUGGCAUGAGAUUUAAAAUUUUAUUACCCAACACAUUAUUUUCACUAAAGUAUCCUUGGUUAAAACUCAGUUAAUACUAGCAUUUAAUAAGAUAACUCAAAUUUCUCCAAAAAAAUGGACAAAUUGGAUGUCUUCAAUUCACUUGACUUACAAAAUGGUUUUAAUAUGAGAAUUGUCUAGUCAUAAGUUGUCACUCAAGAACAAAAAUUAUCUGUUCUGGCACUAACUGGCAUGUGAUUCUGGUGAGGCACAUCAUGACUCUGGGUCUCCUCUACAAGGAGGGGGUUGUGGGAGUGCCCUGGUUCCUUCCAUCUUGAACAUUCGUGAUUCCAAAGUAGCACUCCAGCAUAGCCCUGAUUUACUUCUAGUUCCUUUCCUUUUCAGGACAUUGACAUAAAGUAGAACUUGCUUCCAAUACGUCUUAAAGGUUAAAUGUUACACACAGCGUACAGUCAAUGCAAGGAGGCCUGCACACAGGGAACUUCUGUCUAGGACUGCGGCCGGUAAGACCUUCCUGUGUGGACCACAGCACUGCUCAGGAAAGCUGCCUGCAGGAGCUGUGAAGUUGCAGAAUUUUGGUUUAUUGGGAUGCAUCCUGGUGCUUGCCUACAGAUCUUGUUUUGCAAAGUGCAGAGGCAAUACAUGGAGAUGCAGCAGCCAUCUUGUGACCAUGAGGACAAAGAUCAUUUACCAAGGAUGACAGAAGAGAAAGUUAGCAAGAGCCUUGACCCCUGAUGAGGUGAAGUCAUUUCACCAGCCUAUCACAGCUUCUAGUCUUCUUGGGAAUAUGUUGCAAAUUCAUCCCACCUCCUGCUGCAGCUAUGAUACUCAGAGAAACGUUGGGACGAGGCCUGCAGAGGAUGUGUUCUGGGUAUUUGGUGGCCCUGCUGGUGAGCACUGGUGUUCCUUGAGGUCAACCUGUGCUGAGGACAGGAAUAUUUCACCCAAGUACAUAACUAAGAGAAGAUCACUCCCAGAAGAUUUCAUCCCCAAAAGCAAGAAGGUGAAGGACACUUGUACCCAGACAGUGAGAUCCACUGCCUCCUUGCCAUGCUUUUAGCUCCCCCCACAGCUGAGCCCUCCUGACCAGAAAACCUGACGGGGCCACCUUCUUCAUCCCUCAGUCUCACAGAGGUCCCAUAAAACUGAACCAGGCUUGGUGCUGACAGUGGGCCAGGGCAAUGUAGGCUCACUGGAGCUGGGUGAGAGUGUGACAGGGAGCGUCAAAGUCAAAAUAAAAAUAUAAAGACAAAUCUCUAAA